Molecule: ribosomal RNA, 497 nt
Filed under: uncultured bacterium
Lineage: Bacteria
Description: partial 16S ribosomal RNA
Rfam family: Bacterial small subunit ribosomal RNA
Source: RNAcentral
GAUGAACGCUGGCGGCGUGCCUAAUACAUGCAAGUCGAGCGAACAGACGAGGAGCUUGCUCCUCUGACGUUAGCGGCGGACGGGUGAGUAACACGUGGAUAACCUACCUAUAAGACUGGGAUAACUUCGGGAAACCGGAGCUAAUACCGGAUAAUAUAUUGAACCGCAUGGUUCAAUAGUGAAAGACGGUUUUGCUGUCACUUAUAGAUGGAUCCGCGCCGCAUUAGCUAGUUGGUAAGGUAACGGCUUACCAAGGCAACGAUGCGUAGCCGACCUGAGAGGGUGAUCGGCCACACUGGAACUGAGCCACGGUCCAGACUCCUACGGGAGGCAGCAGUAGGGAAUCUUCCGCAAUGGGCGAAAGCCUGACGGAGCAACGCCGCGUGAGUGAUGAAGGUCUUCGGAUCGUAAAACUCUGCUAUUAGGGAAGAACAAAUGUGUAAGUAACUAUGCACGUCUUGACGGUACCUAAUCAGAAAGCCACGGCUAACUACGUG